CGUAGGGGCGAAGCGUUAUCCGGAUUUACUGGGUGUAAAGGGAGCGUAGACGGCGAUGCAAGCCAGAUGUGAAAGCCCGGGCUCAACCCCGGGACUGCAUUUGGAACUGCGUGGCUGGAGUGUCGGAGAGGCAGGCGGAAUUCCUAGUGUAGCGGUGAAAUGCGUAGAUAUUAGGAGGAACACCAGUGGCGAAGGCGGCCUGCUGGACGAUGACUGACGUUGAGGCUCGAAAGCGUGGGAGCAAACAGGAUU
RNAcentral lists this ribosomal RNA (252 nucleotides) under uncultured bacterium. RNAcentral describes it as "partial 16S ribosomal RNA". It matches the Rfam family "Bacterial small subunit ribosomal RNA", at positions 526 to 779 of the family's 1533-position model. The record is from RNAcentral.